AGGGAUGUAGCAAAUUUGGUAGCACCUUUUUGGGGUAAAAAAUGUCACAGGUUCAAAUCCUGUCAUCCUUA
This 71-nucleotide transfer RNA is filed under the name Capsicum annuum. It matches the Rfam family "tRNA". Rfam says of the family: Transfer RNA (tRNA) molecules are approximately 80 nucleotides in length. Their secondary structure includes four short double-helical elements and three loops (D, anti-codon, and T loops). Lineage: Eukaryota; Viridiplantae; Streptophyta; Magnoliopsida; Solanales; Solanaceae. The record is from Rfam by way of RNAcentral.